AUGAAAAAUGCAGAAAGGGUCAAACAGAAAAAAGCUCAAGAGAUGCACAAUGAGCGCCAGUUUCAAAGCUGGACGAAAAACCCUGACACACUGGAGCUUUCAAAAAGAAAACAACAGGUGCUAAAAACAGGAGCAAGAAAAAAUAGGAUUGUGGACACGGCAGAUGAAUAUCGUGACGUGUACGGGGAAGUUCUCCCGCAUCACAGAACUCCUGAAACUACCAGCACGAAAUGUAAACAGGCGUUAGGCUCGCCACCCAUCCCACUUUUGGAGCGGCAUAACAUCAUGGCGAGACAUCGUUUGGCUGGCAUAAAAAAAGCACAAAAGCUCAGACAGGAGCAUGAACGCCCGAUUCACAGCACAAAGGAGCUGAAGACAGAUCGUGCAUACGAUCCAACUGCCUUACGAGAAGAAUCCAGAAAAAAAUGGAUCUUAGAUACGGCACAGGAGUAUCGUGACGUGUGCGGGGAAGCUCUUCCGCAUCGUGGUACUCGUGAAACAUAUAUGGCUCGUAUGAAAAAUGCAGAAAGGGUCAAACAGAAAAAAGCUCAAGAGAUGCACAAUGAGCGCCAGUUUCAAAGCUGGACAAAAAACCCUGACACACUGGAGCCUUCAAAAGGAAAACAACAGGUGCUAAAAACAGGAGCAAGAAAAAAUACGGCACAGGAACAUCGUGACGUGUGCAGCGAAGCUCACCCGCAUCAUAGCACUCAUGAAGCUUCCAUCACAAUCAGGAGACAGGUGUUAGGCUCACAACUCCUCCCACCUUUGGAACAGCAGAGCAUCAUGGCGAGAAGAAACCCUGACACUCUGAACUUCCAAAAAGAAAACAACAGUGCUAAAGACAAGAAACAAGAAAAAAUAGAAUUGCAGACACGGCACAGGAACAUCGUGACGUGUACAGGGAAGCUCACCCGCAUCAUAGCACUCAUGAAGCUUCCAUCACAAUCAGGAGACAGGUGUUCGGCUCACAACUCCUCCCACCUUUGGAACAGCAGAGCAUCAUGGCGAGAAGAAACCCUGACACUCUGGAACUUCCAAAAAGAAAACAACAGGUGCUAA
This 1062-nucleotide long non-coding RNA is filed under the name Oryzias javanicus (javanese ricefish). Its description in RNAcentral is "lncRNA (ENSOJAG00000001161.1)". Lineage: Eukaryota; Metazoa; Chordata; Actinopteri; Beloniformes; Adrianichthyidae. The record is from RNAcentral.